RNAcentral lists this ribosomal RNA (510 nucleotides) under uncultured bacterium. Its description in RNAcentral is "partial 16S ribosomal RNA". It matches the Rfam family "Bacterial small subunit ribosomal RNA", at positions 28 to 507 of the family's 1533-position model. The record is from RNAcentral.
GACGAACGCUGGCGGCGUGCUUAACACAUGCAAGUCGAACGAAGAGCGAUGGAAGCUUGCUUCUAUCAAUCUUAGUGGCGAACGGGUGAGUAACGCGUAAUCAACCUGCCCUUCAGAGGGGGACAACAGUUGGAAACGACUGCUAAUACCGCAUACGAUCUAAUCUCGGCAUCGAGGAUAGAUGAAAGGUGGCCUCUACAUGUAAGCUAUCACUGAAGGAGGGGAUUGCGUCUGAUUAGCUAGUUGGAGGGGUAACGGCCCACCAAGGCGAUGAUCAGUAGCCGGUCUGAGAGGAUGAACGGCCACAUUGGGACUGAGACACGGCCCAGACUCCUACGGGAGGCAGCAGUGGGGAAUCUUCCGCAAUGGAUGAAAGUCUGACGGAGCAACGCCGCGUGAGCGAUGACGGCCUUCGGGUUGUAAAGCUCUGUUAAUCGGGACGAAAGGCCUUCUUGCGAAUAGUGAGAAGGAUUGACGGUACCGGAAUAGAAAGCCACGGCUAACUACGUG